This 63-nucleotide transfer RNA is filed under the name Curculionoidea sp. 13 KM-2017. RNAcentral describes it as "tRNA-Asp". Lineage: Eukaryota; Metazoa; Arthropoda; Insecta; Coleoptera. The record is from RNAcentral.
AAAAAUUUAGUUAAACUAUAACGUUAGCUUGUCAAGCUAAAAUUAUUAUAAAAAUAAUUUUUA